Long non-coding RNA from Myotis lucifugus (little brown bat), 5874 nucleotides. RefSeq lists it as uncharacterized. The record is from RefSeq and is a predicted model, not a curated record. The transcript has 3 exons. Lineage: Eukaryota; Metazoa; Chordata; Mammalia; Chiroptera; Vespertilionidae.
AGAGAAAGAGGGGAGGAGAGGGGGAGGACACACUGUCCCCAGCAGUGCUGUGACUUUUGACAUGCUCUGACUUAAUGGAGAGGAAUUUCACAUGGAAAUAGCAGAAGACAUUUGCAGCCAAGAAGAGCCAUUUCCUUUGGUUGAAGCCAAAUUCAGAGGAGAAAGGAACAGAGGCUGCUCAGGGACACCAGGCAGGGAUCUUGAGGAGCCAGUGUCACAGCAGCCGAGGGAGGAGGGGUCCUGCAGGGAAGGCCUCUGGGGCUUAGGAUGCAAGUCUCUUCCAUCUGCACUAGGCUUUGCUGAGCCCUUGUGGCCAUAUCAUUUGAUGUGCACAAUGGCCCUAAUUGACAGGUGUUACUAUCCCAAUCUCAGAGCUCAAGCUUGAGGUCAACUCAGGUCUGUCCGUCUCUCCAUCUUGGCAAGGACAGGAGGAGCCCUGCUCUUCAAAUAGUGUCUCGAUUUUAGGCUUGUGGCGAGAGAAAGCCAUCCAGAAUCCCUCCGGCCUCUUUGGGAGAGCCUCUCCCUAACUGUAUAAAAUUCUAUAAAAUAUUGGAAUACGCCAAAGAGGAGAAGUAAAACAUUCUCCUCACCACCUAGAUCCUGCCAGCACCUCGGUGACUACCUGGCCAAAGUUAUGGCCUCUCCCCAUAACAAAGAAACAAUUUCCGGAGGAUGAGGCCCAGAAAUCAGGAUUUUAAAGAGAUUCCCAGGUGAUUCUAAUGUACAGCCAAGGUUGAGAACCACUGCUCUAGAGCCACUUCCCUGAGCACCAGGUGCAACUGGAGAAAACACCUGUCAGCAUCAGCUGAUCCAGCGGAGACUCUGACCCACUUGGAGAAUGAAAGGCGGAACUACCUGCCCUGUGGCCACCCUCUGAUCUAAGUGGGACAGGAGCCAGCGCCUGAGACAUCCUCUGAUCUUCCAGUGGCUCUUAGGCCCUGAAGGAACGCAAUGCUGGGCGUUCUCCCACAAAUGGGAAAUUUAAAUGAAUUCAGUGAGAUGGGCCUGUCCUUCCUUGCCCCCAAUACCCCUUUGAUAAGCAUUUACAAGACUAGAGAAAUAUAACAAACUCCUUUUAAAAUAUAACAAACUAUUGUAUAAGCAUUUUUUAAAGUUCCUUCCAAUUAUUGAUCAGUGACUGGAAUCUCCUCGCCCUUUGUGAGACCCCAGCUCUCAUGUGUGGCAUCUCUCCAGCGCAGCUCCCUGAGCAGGCCUCCUUGGCAUGCGCGGCUGCCUAUGGUCCCGGCCUUCUGACGGAACCUCACCCAACCCCCUCCCAUCCUCCAUGCCAGUCCGGCCAGGCUAGGCUCCCUCUGUUCCCCUCCAGCAAAUGUUUAUUCCUUUUGCGCCAUCCCCCACUACCACAAAUUGUGCAGUCGAGUUUCCCACAUUUGGGGAAAUUGCAACGGUCAGCACAUGCGGAAUGCAAUAGAUAGGCCUCGCCCUGGGAAAACCACCUACGUGAUCAUGGUGUCUCCCCUACCAGGUAAGUAUGCAAAUGUUUAUCCUUGCCUUUUGUCCAAACCAGGUUCCUUGCCUGCCACCUUCUUACCUCUCCUCACUGCCUCUCAGCCUCUUGGUCCCUUGGCUGUCCUCCCGCAUGCUGCCUUUUCCCUGCUUCUGACUGCCUGGGCCUUCGUUGGAGAAAUUGUUCCUCUGGACACCAGCUUCCUGAGACGAGGGCUUGUCCUCUCGGUGAAACUGCCCCUGAGCUCCCAGCACCAGAAGGAGGUGCUUGGCCCAGCAUUCAAAGCCUUCCUCCAGCCGAGGACCACCCCAAACUACUCUCCUGGCCUCAUCUCCCCUACAGCCCUCCCCAAACUCAGUCACAUGCCUCCAUCUUUUUUUUAAGCCCGCACACCCCAGUCCCUACACAGCACCUGGCACAGAGCAGAUACUCAAAAUAUUUGUGUUGACUUGAAACCACAAAUACUCGUGGAGUUGAAUAAAUAUUGUUCUUUUCAAGGAGUUGAGAGAGAGAAAGAACCACCUGUUGGGAUCCCAUGAAGCUCAGCUUGGCCUUGGUUGAAUGCGCACCCCCACCCCCUGAAGUCUCCCUGAGGCCGAGAGGUAUUGCAACCCUCAUGCAGUCCAGGCCCAGCCGGAGGGUCGAGACCCACAGAGCACGGCCUGGACACAUCGGGCCUGUCUAAGCUGCUGCAAGGGCAGCCGGGAAACUCUCCAGGAAGACGACCUUUGACAAUACACAGAUUGAGCACAAAACUUAUUGUUCCAAUCAGGACACUUUUGAGAGUGAACUGGAAGUUGUGCUGGGAUUAGUCCAGGUAAGCAGGCUGGGUGGUCACUCGGGGCAAUCUGUUCGGUUCUGUAUUCAAACCCUCCUAAGAGUAAACAUAAUAGAGUUUUCCAAACGUAAUGACUUGCUAAAACAAAGCAGCUUAGCGCAAAGAUGGCUUUAUUUUAAAAGCCAAUUGUGUUGUUGAAGAAAAGACUAUGUUCUCGCCCCAUUCUGGCUAUGCUCCGGGGCUGCUUGGGGUAUUGUGCUGAAGAUGUGUAUGUUCCUGGGCCCGGGGUUCUCUGAAAACAGAACAGGAAAGGACGCUGAUGAGAGCGUGACACCAAAACCCUGGAGCCUGCUGAGCCUGGCCGCUGGCUCAGGUGUGGCCGGCAAACCCCACAGAGGGAGACAAGGCCCGGGGCACCCUUGCACCAGCGCAUGUCCUCCGCGCUCAGACCUGCUCCUGUCGGCCCCUCUCCCCAUGGCUGCCCAGGUGCUGAGAGACAAGCAAGCAACGGGGCCUAGACCUGCGGGGGUGGCAGCUCACAUGCCACCUCUGCCUCAAGGCACGCUCGCUCCCACAGGGCAAUCUGUCCCUGGGCAUGCCUCGGCGUCCCCUCUAGUGAACCUCCCCUGGCGGUAAGGGGUUGGAGAGAGUGCACUCUGCACCUGAGUGGUUGACCUCAGAAGCCCCAACUCGUGAGUUUCUAUCGCUGACCCAGCACGAGUAGUAAGGCAUUUCUCUGCCACGGUCUGUGGGCCCAGGGUCAGCGUAUUCUAAGGGGCCUAUGAGUUCUACUUUUUUAAAAGUCAUGUUUUCAUUUUGAUGAAAUUCUUUAAGAAAUUAUUGUGCCAAUUGUUUAGACAAAGCUUCUGUUGUGUGGUGAUAAAUGCAAAUGACUGUCAUUUCCAUAAACUACGACUUGGAUUUCUUAGGCCAGUGUUUUCCAUGCUGGGGUGCCCACAUAUUCUCGAAACCCAAGGGAAUUUUAUCUUGGGUUGCUGGAGGGACACCAGGUUCUGUGUGUCCGGUUAAGGGAAGAAUUUUAUUGUCAGAUAGGCCUGGGUUCAGGUCCUAGCCUCACCCCUAAUGGCUCGGUGUGUUCUUGGGCCAUGGGCUUCCCAGGCCUCCCCCAUCAAAUGAGGUUCUGAGGCUCACGGGAGGCCCUCCAGGACAGGCGCUCCACACGCUCCACACACCAGCUAGCCCUGUUAUCACCUUCUUGUCAUUUCCUUCCUUCCUUGCAGCUUGUUAUCUCUUCGGGAGACAGUGAGAGUGGAAAUUGGAUUACUCUGAGAGUGGGACAGAGUCAGCCCGGCCUGGAUGAGGUCAGCUGCCUGCAGAAGCCGCUUUAAAUGACAGGAUGUUUCCUUUGCCAAAAGCAGAGGAGCAGCCUGGAAAUCUCAUCAAGUCCUGGCCGGAUGUCAAAAAAGCUGAAGCCUUUAUUAGUGCUGUUAAUGAGGAAGCAGCCUGUGGGAGAAGUCCUGGAAAACGGGCCCAUAGGAUAGGUUUGUGGGUCUGCACGGCCCCUCCCUCUGCCCCCCCCCCCCACACCCACCAAGACCUCCCCUCAGGAGGCUGCCGAUUACGAUUCUGAAACCUUGAGAACAUCUGGCUCCACCCCCCAGCCCUGAUUUCACUGUCACCAGCAAGCUCCUGGUUGUCCUUGGCUUCCAUGAAGAGCUUCCUAUAAUGGGAGACACUCCACAGAGUAGCAGCCCCAACACCAGCAACCCCUUUCUGGCUUCUCCAGCAUUUCCUGGGGGUUUGGUUAGCAUGGCUCCAGCUUCCUGGGGAUGCUCAGCCCUGUGAGCACCAACAAAAUUCUGCAUCUGGAUCAUGGCGAUGCCGUUAGGGUAUGAGGAUCUGAUUAAGGAAUCCACCAACCUCCUGUUGUCCAUUAGUUUUUAGUUUUAUUGGCAGGGACUCCCCAGUAUUCAUACCUCCAGAUAAAGACUGCACUACCCCACACUACAGCUGGCAACUCUGGAACAAGAUCCUGCAGGCAAGCGCCUGGGCCACCCUCUCCCAGCCACUGCCCAGCUUCCCCUGCCCUCCUUCCCCCAGGGUAGGUCCCUUUCCUUACAGGCGGGAUUUAAAUUCCUGUCUCCCAACUACCUCAAAUCUGGUUAUAUACCAGCAAGUUUGAGAGACUUUCAGACUGUGUGCAGGCUGGAAACACCAAAGCCAUGAAAAUUAAAACUGUCUUUUAGCAUUAAAAAAAAAAAGGCCACUGUUCAUAAACUCCAUGUUAUGCUUUUGAGAUCUUCCUUGGUCUUCCCUGGGUCUUUGAGGCCCGCACACUCCCAGAAUCUACCUGCUUUAUAUCUCUAAGUGGACUUGUGCCUCUUCCCUGUCUCCUGAGUCCUUAAGGGCAGGAUGAUUGCUCAUGCCCUCAUGGUCUCCUUGGGUUCAAUAAUAAUGUUUCUGCUCUUCCUUUUUGCUCUUAGAAGCCACACACACAAAGAAAGACAGUUCUGGAUGGAGAGGGCAGCCACUUGUCCACUGCCUGCUUCAAUUCAUUAAAGGCGUUUCCCCACAAAGCACCCAGGUCAUAGCAUGGAUGUCUAAUCACUGUGCUGGCUCCUCUCAGCUGGACCCAUAAUGCAGCUGCAGUCUUCAGGAGCCACCUGGGCCUGAACCUGGCCCAGGGCUUGCCAGAAUACUUACCGAACAAGCAGGCAAGAAUCGAGGUACUUUGGAUCGAAAACAAGAAGUAACGGAACUUGCUGAAGAUGAAUCAGUGUGACAUGGUAGAAAAACUGGAUUGGGGCUUGGAAGAUCUUAUUCAUGUGUGCCCUGGCACACGUCAUUGUGAAAUGGGAAAAAUACCUGCUUUAUCUACUUUACCUGCCUGUGGGAUGACUGUGAAGAUGAAAGGUUAAGUGACUGUAAAAGUCUCCUGAGCCCCUCCCACACUGGCAUGCCUCAAUCCAUACUUGUCCCUCUGUUAAUAGUGGCUUGCACUCUGAGCUGUUAGCUGUAUAAAACACGCUUAUUCUUUCAUAUAACUGUAAUAAAUGGUAUCUAAGUACAAACAAGUAUUCACAGCAACUUACUGACAUAAGUACAAUGCCAUGAGAUUGACAUAAGUGGAUGGACACAAUUUUAAAGACAAACAUCCCAAGAGAAAAAUUAGCAAAAGGCAAAUUCACAAAGAGGAAAUACAAUUGUUCAAUGAGGAGUGGGAGGGUUUAACCUUAUUAAUAACCAAAUAAGUUUUCAUUAAAACAAUAAGAUUCUUUGGGGAGGGGGUCUAGAAAAUUAACCAAGGUAAAAAGAAAGAAGGAAAAAAGGAAGGGAGAGAGGAAAGGAGAGAGAGAGAGAGAGAGAGAGAGAGAGAGAAUAUGGAAGGACACCAGCAUGGACACUCAUACAUAAUUCUGGUGGAAGUAUAAAUGUGAUUGCCUUUCUGGAACACAAUUUCGCAACCUAUGAAAUAAGUUAAAAAUAUAUAUACCUAUCCAAAUGGAGAGAAAGAAGAGAGAGACUGGUUACAAGACUGUUGCAGAAAUCCAGUACCAGUUAAAAAUGUGGAUUUUGUAAUCAAAGAAAACACAAUAAUUUUAAGAGAAACAUCAAAAAUGCUUUAUUCACAGUAAUGUCCAUCGCUAGCUACACAUUUCCCCCAUCU